Molecule: non-coding RNA, 2947 nt
Organism: Oncorhynchus mykiss (rainbow trout)
Lineage: Eukaryota; Metazoa; Chordata; Actinopteri; Salmoniformes; Salmonidae
Source: RefSeq, a predicted model, not a curated record
AGACCAAUGAGGAAGUUUUUACCUUGCUUCUUUGUUUAGUGUCUUCAAGUGCAUAUUUUUUAUAUUUCAGAAACCUUUAGCUAGCGUACAAAUAACGAGCGUCAUCUAGUCUGCAACUCAACUUCAUGCACUUUUAUGAUUUUGUUUUGAUUGAGUUAAUUUAGUGUACAUAAUUUCUCAUAAAUACUAACGGUAGCUAGUUAGCAAAUACAGUCAGGAGCAUUUAUUGAUGUCAAUCUCUGAAGGUUUGCUCAAAUCACAAUGGAUGGUGAGAACAAACCCUGCCUGCCACUCUCCUUUACCGUACCUAAAUCUGAGGGUCCUGAUUGUAACAGUAAAGUCCAGAGUGAACAACAGGCUCCAGAGAUGGCAUCAGUGAAGCAGGAAGACUGCAGUCAAACACUGGGGCUGAAUGUCAACAUUAAAGAUGAAGUAAAGGAGGAAGAGAUUGAAACAUUUGUGUAUCAUGGGCCGGCUGGAGGGUUCAAAGAAGAGACGGAAGAACACAAAGUCUUACUACUCAAAGGAGAAGGACCUGACUACGCUGAACUUAAGGUUGAAGUUGAAACGUCCAGAGCGCAACACCGUGUAGAAAGCAAAGCUAAGGAGUCUAACCACUGCCCACACUGUGAGAAAAGUUUCCCAUUCCCAUCAUAUCUUGAAAGACACCUGCGGAAACAUACUGGAGAGAAGCCUUAUUCCUGUUCUGUCUGUGGGAAGUGCUUCAGGACGUCAACUCAUUUAACCACUCACCGGGGAGUUCACACAGGGGAGAGACCUUACUCCUGCUCUGACUGUGGAAAGUGUUUCUCUCUUGUAAGUAACUUUAAACAACAUCAGCGAACGCAUUCUGGAGAGAAGCCUUACUCCUGCUCCGAUUGUGGAGACAGUUUUUCUCAACAUGGUAACAUGCGUCGUCACCAGAAAAGACAUACUGGAGAGAAACCUUACUCCUGCUCCGAUUGUGGGAAGAGUUUCAUUACAACAUCUGAAUUAAUCAGUCACCAGAGAGUGCACACAGGAGAGAAACCUUUCCACUGUUCUGUCUGUGGGCAGAAUUACUUUAGCCUGAGUAACUUAAUACGCCACCAGAGAAUACACACCUAGGACAGAAGCCAUAUUCCUGCUUGACUGUGUGACGUGCUUCAAAACAUAAUCUGAACAAGAGGUCUUCACGAAUCCACCCGUACCCGGAAUACCCGAGAACCGAUCCGAUCCGGGACAUGAGCAGAUCUGGAUCCAGAAUUCUGAAUAAUGUUACAGGUCUGGUUCGGAUCUGAUUUGAUUGGGUCUCGGGUAUGUGUAAUUUAACUGACUUGUCCGGAGGGGCCCGUACAGAUCCGAACUCAACUACACAGAAACAGAGAGAGAGAGAGAGAGAGAGAAUUAUGAUGAUGCAGGAAGCUCCUCUCUCACACUGUCGAAGACAUGGAGCGGUACCUACACAGUCCCAACAUUGACCCUGUCUGCCGAGGAUGGCGUAGAGAGUUCCUGCUCUAUAGCUGUUAUUGACCGCUACGCACAGAGGACGAGGAGCCCAACCAGCAUGGAUCAGGGGCAGGAGGAAUGGCCUAACAGGGAGCUCCAGCGUGUAGCAGGGACAUGAGGGAAUGACCCAGCCUGACGGAGUGGAGAGAGCAGCAGUAAACUACAAGGGAAAGGUUUUUAAUUUCUCCUGAGACUGAUAGUUCCUACUCAGAGCAAUAGAGCAGGAACUCUCUGAGCCAUUACUGAUCCUGUAUAUUCAAUACAAGGCCAAAAGUAUAUGGACAUCUGCUCGUCGAACAUCUCAUUCCAAACUCAUGGGUGUUAAACCCAUUUAAUCCCACAUUUUCCCAGACAUGAAAAUAUCAAAAUCAUUAGUGACCCUUUGGAAUAAUAUUUUUUCUUUUUUUAAUGUUCAUGGAGGUGAGAUAAUGGUGAGAUAAUGGUGAGAUAAUGUGAUGUAUACUGAAUUAACAUUUAUCCUAUGCAGUCAUCAACAUUCUUAUAUAUCCCAGCCCACUUAUGAAUCGAUUACAUCCAUGCCAGCCAUAGUAUCGGAUCAUGCUCUCAUCCACUCCUGAUGACUAUGACUGAUUGAGCUCAGAGAAGACGGGCCUAAUCUUACAAAGUGUGUCGUCAGUGAUCUUUGCACACAAAGAUCACUGACGACACACUUUGUAAGAUUAGGCCCGUCUUCUCUCAACGACAUGAACUGAGGCCAUUGUUUAAUCAAAGCGAUUUCUCCGCAUUGCAUCUGAAGUGCUUUCAUUACUGUACAUCACUGUCAAGUGACCAAACCUUUUGUUUGGGAGCUUUGACGCAACCAUCUUCUCUUCUCAUGGUGCAACCAGGAAGUAAACAGCUCAUGUGACAAUUUACACUAAUGCAUUGAAAUGCUAGAAAUAUCAUUCAGUAACAUCUUUAGAGCCUAAUAACGUUUUUUCACUGAGCCAUUCAGUAAGGCCAUUCUUUUGCCAAUGUUUGUCAAUGGAGAUUGCAGAUUUUUCUUUACACCUGUCAGCAACCGGUGUGGCUGAAAUAAACAAAUCCACUAAUUUGAAGGGCAUCCACAUACUUUUGAUCAUGUAGUGUAGCUUACAUUGCUUGUCUGUUUUUUGUUUUAUUUUACCUUUAUUUAACUAGGCAAGUCAGUUAAGAACAAAUUCUUAUUUUCAAUGACGGCCUAGGAACAGUGUGUUAACUGCCUGGUAAGGGGCAGAACGACAGAUUGUCACCUUGUCAGCUUAGGGGUUUGAACUUGCAACCUUCCGGUUACUAGGCCAACGCUCUAACCACUAGGCUACCCUGCCGCCCCAUGUUUUGAUUUUGAGUACUGCGCUGUUGGGAAGGGCUUGCAAGUUCAUGUUAAGCAUUUCACUGUACUUGUGCAUGUGACAAAUAAAACCUGAAAAAUCAGAAAUGCACGAUAUCUUUCUGUAGUAAAAUAAAAUUUGAAAUCUUA